Molecule: ribosomal RNA, 158 nt
Filed under: Leersia oryzoides (rice cutgrass)
Lineage: Eukaryota; Viridiplantae; Streptophyta; Magnoliopsida; Poales; Poaceae
Description: partial 18S ribosomal RNA
Source: RNAcentral
AUGCAGUUAAAAAGCUCGUAGUUGGACCUUGGGCCGGGUCGGCCGGUCCGCCUCACGGCGAGCACCGACCAACUCGACCCUUCUGCCGGCGAUGCGCUCCUGGCCUUAACUGGCCGGGUCGUGCCUCCGGCGCCGUUACUUUGAAGAAAUUAGAGUGC